RNAcentral lists this ribosomal RNA (561 nucleotides) under Hymenobacter setariae. RNAcentral describes it as "Hymenobacter sp. Fur1 partial 23S ribosomal RNA". It matches the Rfam family "Bacterial large subunit ribosomal RNA", at positions 1 to 569 of the family's 2925-position model. The record is from RNAcentral. Lineage: Bacteria; Pseudomonadati; Bacteroidota; Cytophagia; Cytophagales; Hymenobacteraceae.
GAGAAGUAAGUAAGAGCACACGGGGGAUGCCUAGGGUCUCAGAGGCGAUGAAGGACGCGAUAAGCUGCGAUAAGCCGGGGGGAGGAGCACAUAUCCGCUAAUCCCCGGAUUUCCGAAUGGGGCAACCCCACUGGUUGAAGACCAGUGACCACUCCUUUUAGGACUGGAGCAAACGCCGGGAACUGAAACAUCUCAGUACCGGCAGGAAAAGAAAAUAACAAUGAUUCCCCAAGUAGUGGCGAGCGAACGGGGAGGAGCCCAAACCACGGCGGUUACGGCCGCUGUGGGGUUGUAGGACCACGACAUCUGAUUAAACCGAGUUAACUGAACUGCAUGGGAAGGCAGGCCAUAGACGGUGAGAGCCCGGUAAGUGACAAUUCUGGUUUACGGUAGUGGGAUCCUGAGUAGGGCGGGGCCGGAGAAACCCCGUCUGAAGCAAGCGGCACCAUCCGCUAAGGCUACAUACUCCUGAGACACCGAUAGUGAACCAGUACCGUGAGGGAAAGGUGAAAAGAACCGCGGAUAGCGGAGUGAAAAGAACCUGAAACCGUGUGCUUACAA